RNAcentral lists this ribosomal RNA (497 nucleotides) under uncultured bacterium. RNAcentral's name for it is "partial 16S ribosomal RNA". It matches the Rfam family "Bacterial small subunit ribosomal RNA", at positions 28 to 507 of the family's 1533-position model. The record is from RNAcentral.
GAUGAACGCUGGCGGCGUGCCUAAUACAUGCAAGUCGAGCGAACAGAUGAGGAGCUUGCUCCUCUGACGUUAGCGGCGGAAGGGUGAGUAACACGUGGAUAACCUACCUAUAAGACUGGGAUAACUUCGGGAAACCGGAGCUAAUACCGGAUAAUAUAUUGAACCGCAUGGUUCAAUAGUGAAAGACGGUUUUGCUGUCACUUAUAGAUGGAUCCGCGCCGCAUUAGCUAGUUGGUAAGGUAACGGCUUACCAAGGCAACGAUGCGUAGCCGACCUGAGAGGGUGAACGGCCACACUGGAACUGAGACACGGUCCAGACUCCUACGGGAGGCAGCAGUAGGGAAUCUUCCGCAAUGGGCGAAAGCCUGACGGAGCAACGCCGCGUGAGUGAUGAAGGUCUUCGGAUCGUAAAACGCUGUUAUUAGGGAAGAACAAAUGUGUAAGUAACUAUGCACGUCUUGACGGUACCUAAUCAGAAAGCCACGGCUAACUACGUG